This 146-nucleotide small nuclear RNA is filed under the name Tuber melanosporum Mel28. RNAcentral's name for it is "U1 spliceosomal RNA". It matches the Rfam family "U1 spliceosomal RNA". From Rfam's summary of the family: U1 is a small nuclear RNA (snRNA) component of the spliceosome (involved in pre-mRNA splicing). Its 5' end forms complementary base pairs with the 5' splice junction, thus defining the 5' donor site of an intron. Lineage: Eukaryota; Fungi; Ascomycota; Pezizomycetes; Pezizales; Tuberaceae. The record is from RNAcentral.
AUACUUACCUUGUGGCAGAGUCCACCGCCCAUCAAGGGUGGAUUCUCCUGGUGUCCCACCUUCAUAGCACAACGAAGGUAGGCACCGUGCCAGCUGUCUUCGGGCACCUGGGCUGCUCAAUUUUUGAUUUAUUCCUUGGGGCCUUG